This is a long non-coding RNA of Oncorhynchus keta (chum salmon), 3585 nucleotides long. RefSeq lists it as uncharacterized. The record is from RefSeq and is a predicted model, not a curated record. The transcript is spliced from 3 exons. Lineage: Eukaryota; Metazoa; Chordata; Actinopteri; Salmoniformes; Salmonidae.
UUUGGUUACACCUGGUGUUUUACCCUGUGUAACUGGUUUGGUUACACCUGGUGUUUUACCCUGUGUAACUGGUUUGGUUUCACCUAAAAAUCCUGUGUUCAUGGAAUGGUUAAUGGAACACUACAAAGUGGAUUGUGACAAAAAUGUGUAACAGAGGUUGAAACACCUAUACAUGGGUUUUAGUUGCUGAGUGUAAAUUCUUAACUUGGCUGUGGUGUAGCUUAAAUACAGUGUGUUCAAUCGGUUUUCAGAUGUGUUUUAAUGUUUAAGCGACUCUCCAGUAAUAUUUGGACAUAUUGAGAGGCUGAAUGAGGAAUUUAGAAGUGAUUUUUGCCCAGCUGAUAUAGAUGGGUCCAUCAAUGCAAUGACGCAAAUGACGCGACAAACAUAUAGCCUACUAAGAGAGAUGCUACGGGUAGAUUUUAUUGUGUACAUUGUCUUUAGCACCACUUGACCCUUGGUAGUAUGUUGUGACCUAUAACCUUUGACCUAUAAUGUGUGAUAAGAUUACACUAGCGAAAAAACAGACUUUUAUUUGUUGGUCCGGUUUCAUUCAAUCAAUAUGCUCUGUCGCCAAGAUUGUCUGAAUAUGACAAUAUUUUAAUGCUAUUUGCUAACAAGUUAUAUACAGUAAACCUAAUAAUCAAUAAGUAAAAAGGUAUUCAAUAUAUAAACGGAUCAUUUAGUUUUUUGGGGGGGAUUGUACGUUUUAUAAGUUGUAGUGCUAUUAUUUUGUAGGAUUUUUUUUAUUUUUUAACCACAGUUUUCCCCUUUGUCAGCCAACAGUUAUAUUUUUAUAGCCUACUGUUGGUACCAUUAUAUGACUAUAUGAAGUUUUAAGAUGAGGUUGGUUUAGUUUUAUCUGUUGACAAAAUUGUCUGAGGAAAAAAAAAAUGUAUUUCUCUUCCAAGUUCACUGCCUCACCUGUGGACUUUUUUUAUGGCUUUAAAACCUUUACAGGAAACUCUGAAGAGAAGGAAACUACUUAGUAUUUGUUACAUUUUCACUGAGAAGGCAGCUUUUAAGUUGUGGUGUCAUUUUGUGUUGUUUAAAGUGGAAUAAUUAGGACCCUCUCGCUUUGUGCUUGUUUACCUGAUUUCAUUGGGAAGACAAGAAAUGGAAAAUCCUCUUCCCACACUCGUCUUACUGCCAAUUUGUUUAAACACUCAAAGAGAAAGUGCAUUUACGCACUUAUUAGUCCUCUAAAUAUCAAUAAAUUGUUUCAUUUGAGGGAAACCUGUUUCUGCCCUGGAAAUGAAUUGAACAGAGGGAACUGCUCUGACUACCACGUCUAUUGUGUUUCCAAACAGGAAAUGGUUUAUCACUUUGAAUUGUUGCACAAGAGAAGUGAACCAAACACCUCUUUGCUGAUUGUUAGAGACUGAUCAUCGCCUGUGUGUGUUCUCUUAUACACACAUUUUUUAGGAGCUGUUGGUAAUCUGUUUAGCUAACAGGAGCUGUUCAGAAGUUGUUGCUAAUUAAUAGCAUACCUUUUGAACCCAGUACCUUUUUUUUUUUACCCCUCCAGGGCCGGGCUCCUCGUGUUAGUCCUACUGCCCUAGCAGGUGAACCCAGUACACAGUGGGGCAGGAAUCACAGGAUCAAUGGAGGAGCCUCCCACUGUGCCCACUGUGUCCGUGUCCUGCUGGUUUUCAACCACCAGCCCAUGUCCUGCUGCUCACCUGUGUGGAACAGUGGCAGGCUGACACACUAGUGCAGUAUGUGGGAGAAUGGAGCUGGAAUACAGUAGCAGCUCCUUUUCAUUUCAUUGUCCUCUACAAGGUUUGAGUCUUCACAGGCUGGAUUUGCAGCAUGCCCCCAUGCCUUUCACUGUUGUCCUCUACAAUGCUGGUCUGUUUGAGUUGACCACAGCCUGGGGUGUGUCUGUGGCUCCGCCUUGUCCACGGUUCCCUACACAAGCAGAGGUCCUGUCACCGGCUGCCACACAUAAUGCACCUCUUUGGGUGCAGUUUCUUAACUCGCACAGCAGCUCUACAGUACCACUGCAAGCUGUUGCACUGCUGAGGGAGUCACCUUGACCUGUGACCUUUUCCAAGUGACCUGUCAACAUCUCCCAGAAGAAUGAUUAUUUGUUGCCAUCAUAAUUUAGAUUUCUUCAGUUUAUGAUUUGACUCCCAUGUAUGCAGUGAAUGGAUGGAAGAUCGCCCCCUUGUCAUGAAUAGGAAUAUUGUUUAUUGUCGCUGUGGUUUUAUUGAUUGAAUCUUUUUCUUGAAAGAGGAUCAGGAGUAUGUUUGUUCUGCUACGGUUUCCCACGAUGACCGCAGAAUAACAUCCGACAUCAUCUACUUCACAUUUCACGUGAACAAGGGGAAUUUAAGCAGAAAAGAUCAACUCCUACCCAGUAUGAGUGCAUCACGGCCUCCCCCCAGUACAAGUGCAAUAAUAGCAGAGAUUAAAUCCCACCUGCCGUUGUUGCUGAGGAAAAAGACAUUGCCACUGGAGAAAUGACCUCUAGAGGAUCAUGGAGGAACUGCAGGACCAGAGGAGGCUGCUGUAACUACUGUAAGAGCCAUAGGUAGCCACUACACUACACUGAUGGCAUGGAGAGAGACAGCUUGUUGCUGUCACUCCCUGUUGGGGAAUAAGGAGUCUGCUGCCUGGCCUUUAUUAUAAGUCUGGAAGAAGCAGAGAUCAAAACAGAUGUGACAACAGAUUGCCCCAAGGCUGAGAUGGUAAGUUCCAGAUGAAAAUAUAUUGUGUAUAAAGGCAGAUGGAGGGGUUGCGGGUUCAAAUCCUGUGGCACGAUUGUAAAAAAAAAAAUAUGAGGAGCUGAACUGGAAACAAAAUGGCUGCAGGUAAAGACCCGAGACCAUCUGCCGUUGUGCCCAUGUGCAAGGCGCUGCAUUCUGGCUGACCCUGUGCCUCUCUACAUGUGUGUCUGGCAGGGAUGUGAAUGGACAAUAAAGCAUCUAUUCUGUUGUAUUAUAUUCUCUGCUUGUUCCCUGUAGAGUAUCUUGCCGCUGGACCGUCCAAGACACCUCGGACUGUAAGUACUGGGCUUAAUGAAAUACUUUAAAGUGGGGCGGCAGUUAGCCUAGUGGUUAGAGUGUUGGGCCGAUGACCGAAAGAUUGCUGGUUUGAAUACCUGAGCGGACGAGGUGAAAAAUCUGCCGAUGUUCCCUUGACCGAGGCACUUAACACUAAUUUGCUCCAGGGGUGCCAUGCUACUAUGACUGACCUUGUAAAACAACACAUUUCACUGCGCCGAUCCGGUGUAUGUGACAGUAAAACAUGUAGUUUUUAUUUUUAUACUGCUAUUCAGACAAAGUGUUACUCCCUAUAUAAUGGAAUCUUUCCAAACUCGGUGCUGUUGAUUUGAACAAUCCAAAUCCUGUUUACCCCUCUCUUUAAAUUUCCCAACGAGUAUUUAUUGUAUUUUAAAGCAAUUUAAUUUGAUAUCAUACGAGAUGAAAGAGAAUGUAAAUGUUACUUAUCAUAUUGGUCCGAUAUACAUUUGUUUUUGUAUUAUUCAUUCAUUCUUAAUAAAAAAAGUAAAUUUUUGUGCAAUUUCUUUGUGUGAGAAUUAUUUUUCUCCAGGUGUCCUGAAUAGAAGCAGAAAAGAAU